Molecule: ribosomal RNA, 374 nt
Filed under: uncultured eukaryote
Lineage: Eukaryota
Description: partial 18S ribosomal RNA
Rfam family: Eukaryotic small subunit ribosomal RNA
Source: RNAcentral
UAAUAGCGUAUACUUAAGUUGUUGCAGUUAAAAAGCUCGUAGUCGGAUGUCGGGCUUGGGCAGGCUGUCGGCUUUUGUCAGACGGCAGGCUCGGGCCUUUCUGCCUGGGGACCGCGUCACACUUCACUGUGGGGCGUCGGGACGCAGGCCGUUUACUUUGAAAAAAUUAGAGUGUUCAAAGCAGGCCUACGCUUGAAUACAUUAGCAUGGAAUAAUGGAAUAGGACUUUGGUGCCAUUCUGUUGGUUUAUGGAACCGAAGUAAUGAUUAAUAGGGACAGUUGGGGCCGUUUAUAUUUCGUUGUCAGAGGUGAAAUUCUUGGAUUUACGAAAGAGAAACUUCUGCGAAAGCAUUCGGCAAGGAUGUUUUCAUUGA